GGUGGUGGUGGUGGUGGAUGACAAGGAGGAGGAAGGGGAGCCGCUGGCGGUGAUAAUUGCCCUGCGUCGAUGCUUACGCAGCGCGGCGCUGUCGGGAUGCAGCAGGCGAAGGUGGUCGUGGUCGAAGGUGUCGUUGAAGCCCUUGGCGCAGAAGGGGCACACGUGUCGCUUGACGCCGCUGUGGCACUUGACGUGGCGGUUGAGCAUGCGCUGCAGGUCGAAGUGCUUGCCGCACACGGGGCACGAGAGGAGGCCCGCCUGGCCGCUCGCCGCGCCGUUCACCUGCCCGGGCACGGAGCGACAAGGCCUAGAGCUGAGUGUCCCAGGCCGGUGGGCACCCGUGCGCCUCCCGUCGAGACAUCAUCGAUACCAGGCUCUGAAUGUCCCGCCACUCCGCGUGGAAAUCCGCGGCGGCCGCUGCCCGCAGCUCGGUGGGCACGGGCAGCGGCGGGGGGCCACGGGGCAACACGCUGCCGUGCGGGUAGGGCCGCGCGGGAAGGGCCGCACGGGUAGGGCCGUGCGGGUAGGGCCGCGCGAGGAAGGGCCGCUGAGAUGCUUCCGCGGACGAAAAGCGGACGGGCGGAGGCAGGAGGGAGAAUCUCCGCAGGGACUCGAACGGACUCGCCGGGUACUGCGGCCGCGUCGGCGGCGCUAGCGGCGGUGGCGGGGCAGGGUCGGUGGGAGACGGGGACCGCGUGCCGAGGGAUGGGUUCCCCAUCGAGGAGCAAGGGGAGGACACCCGCACGGUGAGGUCGAGCGGCAGCUCCUCCGAUGAUUGCGGCAGCUCCUCGAUGCUGCUGCUACCCGACGCUGGGAGGAAGGAGCGAGAACGGGAGAGAGGCGCGCGUGUUGAUCAACCCGAGGGGCAGCGAGGCCACAGGCCGCCCGUUGCCUGUGGGGUCCGAGCUAGAGCUUUGGAGGCGAGGGUUGGUGAAUCCCGUAGGGGAGUGGUGGUGGUUGGUUGCUUGGUGGUGGUGGUGCAAUUGAUUGAUUAUAUAGACUUCCAAAGUGAAGACGGCCAAUUUAUCCGGGAAAUCCAUCGCAAUCCAUUGCUGUAAACGCGAAUGGGCAACAGAUAUUUAAUUCGGACUUCCAUUUUUGUGCUUUUGUUCAAUUAUUGUGUCAGGAAAUAUGACGAACGUAUGAGCCACGACCGAUGACCAUGUAACGGUAUUGAUAAUGAAGGACUCAACUCUUUUGACGGAUCAUAUAUCAAGUGUUGACAUUCAGCCUGAAUAAUCCGGAACGCAGUUCCAAGAAUAAGUUUUGCAAUACCACAUUCAAUUAUCUCGUCUUAUUUCGUCCAUCUAUUUUUUUCACGUGUUCAUUAAAAAAAACACACACACACACAUCGGGUACAAUAAUAUCGGAUUCUUAUUAAGGAUAUCCGUACCUUGGCACUUUAGUGGCAGUGCCUAAUCCCUACUCCAAGUAGUGCCUCAUACACAUAAUCUCCACGAAUCGCAUAUCGGGGGGGGGGGGGGGGGAUUUUGAGUCAGAAAUGAAGCCCUUCUGAUAUCGUGCGACAAUAUCGUAGUAUCGCCAUAUCUCGGCAACCCCAUUAUUGACACGGGAGGUGGGAGGGUGGUGUCACCGACCUGUGGAGGGCGCGCCCUCAUCCGCACACGUCUCAGGAGAGGAGUCUUGCCAGUCGCGACACCACCUGCUGACCCAGCGCUUCUUCAUCAUGAAGGAGCGAGGCAUGAUGAUGCUGCUGCCGAUGAUGAUGAUAAUGCUGGUGAUGUUGCUGCUGAUAGUAAUGAUCUUGAUGGUGGAGGUGGUGGUAGUAGUCGUCGUAAUGAUAAUGCGUAUUGCGGUUGUGAGGCUGACGAUGUUGGUGUUGAUGGUGGCGUUUGUCGACGGCGUUGUUCCUUUGGUGGUGUGAGUGGUAUGUACUUAUGUUGAACUUCUGUCGCACCGUACGUAGCGGUGCUGAUGAUGGUGGUGGUGGUGGUGUUGCUGGUAGUGUUUUUAAAAUGUCCUCAGCUCUUUGGUCAGUGCAAUGACCACCAAGAUAGUCUCCUUCUGCUGCUGAUGCUGUUAAUGUUUAUGCUGCGUAUUACUCUUUGGUUCUUUCGGCAAAGUAUUCUUCUUCUUUUUCUUCUGAUGAUGAUGAUGAUCACGAUGUUCCUGCCACUGCUACUGCUGCUGAUGAUGAUUCUUUCCACAAGCAGAAGAGCGACUCGCAUCCACGUGGGCCUCGGGCGUACGGAACUUGGGUACGCGUCUCCGUCCGUCCGUUCACGCGCACGGAGGCACGCGCACGGAGGCACUAGUACGGACGCGCGCAACGCAAAACAAGCGACCCACACCCCAGCGGUCGAUUGCCAGUUGUGAAACUCGUCGCGAGCGAUCUCAGGCGAGGAGACGAAGAGAGGCGCGGCCGGCCCAACCUCGAAGACCAAGACCGGGCCACCCCGGCGAACGAGAAAGACGGGAUGGCACGACGCUUGGAGAUCAUACGACAUGGUUCCCCGACAUAACGGUGCCAAUGCGAUUGCCAAAGGGUGGCCACGCCACUACCGGUUACACCGGUUCAUCAUAUUGGUUCGUUGCAUCGCCCGGAGCGAUUGCACACACACACACGCACACAACUACAACGCAUAACUUGACAGAACAGGUAUAAAGUGUUGUUAUUUACAUUUUUGUAUUCCUUCUCCCUGAAGUUCGCCGCUCAUUAUGCAUGCGCAAUCCUGAACGUCUACGUGUAACGAUCACUCACGCGCGCACUGGAUAUUGUUAGGAUAAAGUGUCGUCGUCUCAAGGCAAAACACAUUACAUUCAUUUGUUCUGAGUCACGAGUGGCCAAAAUAGGAGAACGUGUUUACGCGAAUUAUGAGGUCCACUCCGGCUCCGUUCUUGCCCCAAUAAUGUGAAUGCUUCCAUUAAAAAAGGUGCUUUCAGAUUGCUUGGCUGCUAUACAUUUCCACGUGAUAAGCCACUUCGUUGAGCUAUCAUUUUAGCCAGGUCGCUUCUGAAAAAGAGCUUUCUUCUUUUUUUGUCUCCUGAUUGCUUGUGUUGCGAUCGAAACGUCGUAGUUUUUGUAAAAAAAAAAAUGGUCUACGUGACUUUACCGAAAGACCCAAAGAAUAAGAGCUAUACAGCUUAGCGGGCAUAUUAGUUGUAUCUAUAUUAGUUGUAUGUUUUUAUGUUGAACUUCUUUCGCAUUGUAUGUAGCCAACCGUGUUAAUCGGAGGUCCGGGGGACGGACAACAAACUAAACAUAAAAAAGCCGUUCCAAAGGAAUUCGUUUUCAACCUAGUUAGUAAUUAGUUGUUCGGGUCCGUAUUUUUUUAAGCCACCUUAUGAGCAGAGCACCCGAAGUGAGCCCUAUCUCUGUCACAUCCCACAAACUCGACAGGCGUGAGCCUGCGCAGACCUUGUAAGGUCGACGUGUUGCCAGCGGGCUGCAGAACCGACGUGGUGGGACAUCAGGAUGCAGUGCAGCCAAUUCGAUUGUUGUAUUGUACUUCAAUGCUUCCAGGCAAGACUGUUCCUGGGGGGGGGGGUGCGGGUUCCCGGGGCAAAUCCCACUGUGCCCCCCCCCCCCACCCUACAACGCAUUCAAACUAAAUCGGAAGUAUGACAUCUGACACCGUGACGUCGAAGCUCGGAGGCUCCCCCAAAGCACAGGGCCCGGGACGGUCGCUCCGAUUCGCCGUACCCGAGGGACACCUCUGCUCCCAAGUCCUUCUUCACCAACUCGCAUUGACCAGAGCGGGUGACAGCCGUACGGUAAAAUAACCCUCCCCCCCCAUCCCUCCCCCACCAUGCAUCGCAUAGCUUGGAAAUGCGCUCAUCCAACAGUAUGGGUUCACAAAACGUGUGCGCACGUAAUAUGCUUGUUUUGCAUAUGAUUUUACAGAGGUGUAUUCUUCGAGAAGAGGCGUGGGCUUCUGGGAUUUUUACGGCAUGCUUUUGGCCGAGGCGGGUAAACGUCAGGACGGGGAAGAUGGGGAAUCGGAUGCGUGGUGGAUUCCACGGAGCCAUUCAGCCCAAAACUUAGGAUUUUGUUGGAUAUCGAGUGUGCCAAAUGAGACGUAUUUGAGGAAUUGGUGUCUUUUUUUUCUAUCCGGCCAGGUGGCUCAGCGGUAGAAGGAGGGAGGUUUCGAGUUCAAAUCUCGAUCGGGGUGGGGUGGGGUGACUCAUCCCAUCAUCCCUCAGGGGUCGAAAUAAAACACGCCACUUUGUGGCGAUGUGGAAUUACCACCACUGGCUCAGGGCUGUAAAACAGGAGGCGAGCUGCAAUGUCUCAUAACUCAUUUGAGUUGUUUGCUCGCUUUUGAGUUGCAUGGUCAUUAACGUUUGCUGCUGGUUCCGUUUCUCACGACAGUGAUCACGUCGUUUCAGAGUCAGCAUCAGCGCGAUGCGACCGCGAUUACCGCAUUCUCCGUAUAAUAAGACGCAACUUGUUAUUGUAUUGUGUUUUAAAUCAAUAAAAUGGGGUGGGAGGAGGA
Non-coding RNA from Petromyzon marinus (sea lamprey), 4457 nucleotides. The record is from RefSeq and is a predicted model, not a curated record. NCBI's taxonomy places the organism in Eukaryota, Metazoa, Chordata, Hyperoartia, Petromyzontiformes, Petromyzontidae.